Molecule: RNA transcript, 666 nt
Organism: Nycticebus coucang (slow loris)
Lineage: Eukaryota; Metazoa; Chordata; Mammalia; Primates; Lorisidae
Gene name: polyadenylate-binding protein 2-like
Exons: 1
Source: RefSeq, a predicted model, not a curated record
CCUGGCUCUGGAGCUCCUGGCAGCCAGGAGGAGGAGGAAGAGCUGGGACUGGUCAAGGGUGACCCGGGGACGGCGCCAUUGAGGACCCGGAGCUGGAAGCAAUCAAAGCUCGGGUCAGGGAGAUGGAGGAAGAAGCGGAGAAGCUAAAAGAGCUACAGAAUGAGGUAGAGAAGCAGAUGAAUAUGAGUCCACCUCCAGGCAAUGCUGGCCCAGUAAUCAUGUCCAUUGAAGAGAAGAUGGAGGCUGAUGCCCGUUCCAUCUAUGUUGGCAAUGUGGACUAUGGUGCAACAGCAGAAGAGCUAGAAGCUCACUUUCAUGGCUGUGGUUCAGUCAACCAUGCUACCAUACUCUGACAAAUUUAGUGGCCAUCCCAAAGGGUUUGCAUACAUAGAGUUCUCAAAGAGUCAGUGAGGACUUCCCUGGCCUUAGAUGAGUCCCUAUUUAGAGGAAGACAAAUCAAGGUGAUCCCCAAACGAACCAACAGACCAGGCCAUCAGCACAACAGACCAGGGUUUCCCACCAGCCCGCUACCGUGCCAGGACCACCAACUACAACAGUUCCCGCUCUUGAUUCUACAGUGGUUUUAACAGCAGGCCCCGGGGUCGCGUCUACAGGGGCCGGGCUAGAGCGACAUCGUGGUAUUCCCCUUACUAAAAAAAAAGUGUG